UCCUGUCAAUAAAGAAAUUUAGCCAGU
This 27-nucleotide non-coding RNA is filed under the name Rattus norvegicus (Norway rat). Lineage: Eukaryota; Metazoa; Chordata; Mammalia; Rodentia; Muridae. The record is from RNAcentral.